UCGGGAAUUUUGGGCAAUGGGGGGAAACCCUGACCCAGCAACGCCGCGUGAAGGAUGAAGUAUUUCGGUAUGUAAACUUCGAAAGAAUAGGAAGAAUAAAUGACGGUACUAUUUAUAAGGUCCGGCUACCUACGUGCCAGCAGCCGCGGUAAUACGUAGGGACCAAGCGUUGUUCGGAUUUACUGGGCGUAAAGGGCGCGUAGGCGGCAUGACAAGUCACUUGUGAAAUCUCUGGGCUUAACCCAGAACGGCCAAGUGAUACUGUCGCGCUAGAGUGCAGAAGGGGCAAAUCGGAAUUCUUGGUGUAGCGGUGAAAUGCGUAGAUAUCAAGAGGAACACCUGAGGUGAAGACGGGUUGCUGGGCUGGACACUGACGCUGAGGCGCGAAAGCCAGGGGAGCAAACGGGGAUUAGAUACCCACGUAGUCCCUG
RNAcentral lists this ribosomal RNA (431 nucleotides) under uncultured bacterium. RNAcentral's name for it is "bacterial SSU rRNA". It matches the Rfam family "Bacterial small subunit ribosomal RNA", at positions 355 to 799 of the family's 1533-position model. The record is from RNAcentral.